This 367-nucleotide ribosomal RNA is filed under the name uncultured organism. RNAcentral describes it as "bacterial LSU rRNA". It matches the Rfam family "Bacterial large subunit ribosomal RNA", at positions 2099 to 2465 of the family's 2925-position model. The record is from RNAcentral.
CUUUACUGUAGCCUGGUAUUGGGUUCGGGCUUUGACUGCGCAGGAUAGGUGGGAGACUGAGAAGUGUGCCUUGUGGGGCACAUGGAGUCAACGGUGAGAUACCACUCUGUCAGAGCUAGGAUUCUAACCUUCACCCGUAAUCCGGGGAAGGAACCGUAUCAGGUGGGCAGUUUGACUGGGGCGGUCGCCUCCUAAAAGGUAACGGAGGCGCGCAAAGGUGUUCUCAGGCUGGUUGGAAAUCAGCCGUAGAGUGUAAAGGCAGAAGAACGCUUGACUGUGAGAGUGACAACUCAAGCAGGGUGGAAACACGGUCUUAGUGAUCCGACGGUGCCGCAUGGAAGGGCCGUCGCUCAACGGAUAAAAGUUA